UGGCUUUCAACAAAAAUGAUCAAUUUGCACAUUCGUCAUCCUCAAACACAUAUGGGUUUCAACACAUUUUCAUAUCAUCCAAGAAAACAACCAUACAAUCCAUAUCAAUAUGCUCAUCCUAACAAAUCAAAAUGCUCGCAUGAAAAGUUGCCAUAGACAGACUCACAAACACCAAACAAAAACCAAAACAAAACGAACACACAGACUCAAGACAAAAGACAUAAAAACUCCCCCACACUUAAACAACACAAUGUCCUCAUUGUGUGGGGAAAAACAAAGAACAAAGACACAAAACAAAGAAAGCAUAAAAGACAAGAAAAAGAAAAAAAAUAAAAUAAAAUAAAAACGAAAGCAAACUAACAAAAACUUCCCUGAAACUGGAUCAAUCAUCAGGUGGUUUCAAUUUCCGCUUUGGCAGUUUCACAAUUGAAGGCACAAUCUGUCCAGUGCUGGUCGGUAUGGGCAUACCGCGCGACAGAUGCCAAGUGUGAAUUUCAUUGGUGGAGUUCGACUGCACUUUACACCCUUGAAUUUCAUCAUAAUAUUCUGGUGGUUCUUUA
Molecule: long non-coding RNA, 560 nt
Filed under: Salvia miltiorrhiza (redroot sage)
Lineage: Eukaryota; Viridiplantae; Streptophyta; Magnoliopsida; Lamiales; Lamiaceae
Description: long non-coding RNA (SMIL_LNC000250)
Source: RNAcentral